RNAcentral lists this small RNA (297 nucleotides) under Arabidopsis thaliana (thale cress). RNAcentral's name for it is "ATSL048910". The record is from RNAcentral. Lineage: Eukaryota; Viridiplantae; Streptophyta; Magnoliopsida; Brassicales; Brassicaceae.
AAAUACACAAAUUGGAUUGUGAUUUUCACAAAUUGAUUUAGUGGCACUUUGCCAAACCAUGCAAAUAAAAUUUGGUCUUCCGCUCUGGCCCAUAAUUAACCUUUUUACAUUUUUCUAGGAGACUUAGAGCAUUUCCAUCAAUAGUCUCUCACAUGGUUUCUCUUCCACUAAAAAAUAUAAAAUAAUAAUAAAGUAGGAGAGAGAAUAAGAAAAGUUUCUCUGCAGAGAAACCAUGAGAUACUCUUCUUACCACAUGUCAUAUUUUAACAGGUUAAAUAAUUAUUUUCAGAAUAAUUA